Molecule: long non-coding RNA, 1469 nt
Filed under: Sorghum bicolor (sorghum)
Lineage: Eukaryota; Viridiplantae; Streptophyta; Magnoliopsida; Poales; Poaceae
Description: long non-coding RNA (SBIC_LNC010953)
Source: RNAcentral
AGUUGAGGGGUGAGCGAGUUGCCGAUUCAUUGUUGGCCAGUUAAUAAUCUUCGACAAUAUUUUUGGGGAAUUGUUGUGCAAAGAAAUCAAACCAAAGGCGUUUGUGCAUAUGAACAUUGAGCCACAUGUUGAUGAACCACCACGGGCCUCCUUGGUUGCCGAUGGGUUCACCUAAUAGAAGCUUCUCAGCCACUUGAUGGAGAAGGUGGUAGGCAGAGCCUAGCAAGUAUCGGCCAAGAGGAAAUCGGCCACCAUCGGCUAAUCUUUCUGCUGCCAAUAAGUAGACAGAGGUGGGUUCUAUCGAUCGGCCGCAAAAGAUGAACUUGUCUAGCCACAUGUUCAGAAAAAUAGCGUGUUCCCUCUGACCAACUGGCCCUGUUCUCUAGUACUUUUAGAUAUACCCUGACCAGCCGCCGAUGUUACGGGUUUCUACCUUGCGUUCACCUUUACGGUCGAACAAAUGGCCAUCAUCGGCAGAUGCGAUGUCUAAACCAGUGAGCAUGAGGACAUAGGCCAGAGUGGGGGAAGCUGGGCCAUGGCCGAAAAUGAAAGCGUUUAAGGUGUCUGACCAGAAGUGUGAAGCAGCUAUCAGCAGUGAUUCGUUUCUCUCCAUAUCGGCAAUGGAUAGCCUGAUACACUGAUCUAGUUUACGUUCACCCCAGAAUACUUUGUUUGUGUUGCUAACUCUUAGAAACCAAUCCAUCCAAUCUUUGGUAGAACUUGGCCAAGAUUGGAAGGUAUCUUUUCACAGAUCUAAUGAAAAGUUCUCGGUUCUAAAGGGUAUUCUAUUUGUCUCCGCAAUAAUCAAAUCGGUAGGAUCUGGAUUACCCAAUGGACCGAGGCAUUGAAGGUGGGGUUGCUCGUUAGGGAUAAUAAUUUUCUCGCUCAGUUCCUAAGAGUUUGAGGUUUGGAAGAAUAGAAAGGAAGAAAGAAAAAAGAAAAAAAUGCUAAGUAAAUAGACUUGCAAAAAAUAAAGUGGUGCGAUAAAGGGAAGAAAGAUGGGAAUAGAUUAUCCUCGGGGACGACAAAGUUGACGGCCAUUUCUUCCAGGAGAAGAAGAAGAUCGAAGAUUUGAGAGGUCAUUGGGAAGAUUUUGUUGAAGUUUUCGAGCUCUUCGACAAUGCCGCCGCCAGAGAGGUGAAUUUGGGGAAUGAAGCAUGGCAAGGUAGAGAAAGAGUACCAAGGAAGGAAGUAUUUAUAGGGUGGAUGAGCAGGGGCAUUUCUGACUUACCUCUUUGCCGUAUCCGUGAGUUUCGAGGGUAUUCAGGUGGAUUUGGUAACUAUUCGCAAGAUAAUCAAGGGAUUGUGUGGGUGAUAUGACAGCAAGCGGUCAUGAUUUUUGGAGAUAUUUUACUGUGCAGGAUCUCCUGGUCGGUUCAUCGGCAGUUCACUCUAAUGAAAUAGUUGCCAAUGAGCGGGUGUUUAGGAGAUUUGGUUCGAAAGGUUGAGAGAUUCGAGGUGCAUGCUGG